This 497-nucleotide ribosomal RNA is filed under the name uncultured bacterium. Its description in RNAcentral is "partial 16S ribosomal RNA". It matches the Rfam family "Bacterial small subunit ribosomal RNA", at positions 28 to 507 of the family's 1533-position model. The record is from RNAcentral.
GAUGAACGCUGGCGGCGUGCCUAAUACAUGCAAGUAGAACGCUGAAGGAAGGAGCUUGCUCUUUCCGGAUGAGUUGCGAACGGGUGAGUAACGCGUAGGUAACCUGCCUGGUAGCGGGGGAUAACUAUUGGAAACGAUAGCUAAUACUGCAUAACAGUAGAUGUUGCAUGAUGUCUACUUAAAAGGUGCAAUUGCACCACUACCAGAUGGAUCUGCGUUGUAUUAGCUAGUUGGUGAGGUAACGGCCCACCAAGGCGGCGGUACAUAGCCGGCCUGAAAGGGAGGACCGGCACACUGGGAAUGGGGCCAGGCCCAGGACUCUACGGGAAGGAGCAGUAGGGGAUCUUCGGCAAUGGGGGGAAGGCUGGCCGAGCACAGACGGGGGAGGGAAGGAGGGUUUCGGAUCGGUAAGGUCCGUUGUAAGAGAAGGAAGAGUGUGAGGGUAGAAAGUUCACGCUGUGACGGUACCUAACGAGAAAGCAACGGCUAACUACGUG